AUUAUUGCAUUUAGUGAGAUUGAAUUCGUUUAUUAAUCAAAAUUGCCACCCCUCGUGAUCUGUUAGUAAAUUUGGAAUAGAAGAUAUGAUUAACCCAUGCUUUACGGAGUCUGGUGUGAUCUUCUAACCGUAAAUGUGUCUCCUGCAAAAACAAAACAUCAGUUUUCAAUUGUUUAAGAUGGGAAAAAAUCCUAGAACGUUUCACAGGACCGUUCAUCCCCUUAACAUUCCAGGACACAAACUUAACUGCAGCUCCCCCUGUUGGGCUUGUACCACCUGCAUUAUUUAUCAUAGGAGACAUCCAAAAUGUGUAUGAUUAGCCUGAACCACAUUAUUGAAGUGCAUUUAUGGUCAUAAGUGAUGUCAACACACACCGUUUGCAGUUGUGUAGAAGUAAAAUAAAAUUGUAAUAAUAAUGAAAUAAAAAUACAGUUUAACAUAGUUGUGUGCAUCCUUAGAAGAUAAAGUGUUGCCGUGUAAAUAAAAUGUUGCCCAGUUCUCAUGAAACUUAAGUUGGAAUAGAAGAGAGAAAAAAAAAAACAAAAAAACCCCCCCAAAAAAAACACCUUGAACACCCCAAACCUAGAUCUUCUUCCCCAAACGAAGAAAACCGCAGGAAUUCCCAGAUGGAAAACUUCCAAGACAUCCAGCGUUGUCUAUAACUCCUAUCCUAACCUGAGGGUGGCUCCCCUCUCAGUAAGUGAUUUGUGUUCUACCUAUAUAUAAUCAUCUAUUCGGCUCACCUUGAGAAAAAAGGGACCAAACUAAAUCAAUAAAUAACAUUGAAAGUAAUAGGAUCUAUCCCUGAUUUGCAUCUGGAUCACCAGUGCUCACUGUGCAAUUACACAGAGCACGAUUGGACUGAUAAAAGUAUGUAAAAUAAAUCGAAGUGGCUGGCCUAGUUAAAAUAAAAUGUAUCAAGUUCUCUUGGGACAGAUAUUGUCACUUAAUUUACCUUACUAAAAUUGACCAGUCUGUGAAAUGGCCAUGUGCAGAGUUAUGUGUGAAAGCCACACUAACUAAAACAACCAAAGCAAAACAUAGCUGUUGUAUAUUUAAAUCACACAGGCCACAGCGUUGUUAUUGUACCAUAAACAUGUAUGAAGACCACAUUAACGUAAAUAUUACCGUGUAGGCCUGUAGUUUAUUUGAAAAAGGAAAAAAGAAAAAAAUGUUCUUGUUAUUUUCCCCUAUAUAUUAACCAAGCAAACAAAUAGUCCCAAGGAAUCAAAGUGUCUAAGCCGAAAGCUAAGCUUACUUUCACCUUCUCAUGGAUGAUCUAUGCUCCAGCAUCGUUUACUGUCCCCAGUGAAACUCGUAAAACUUCCUGGCCUUCUACGGGGUCUCGAAGAACAGCGUCUGUCCGUCAUGAAGGACGCGGAGCCGGGCAGGGUAGAUAAGAGCGAACCUGACGCUCUUCUUGUACAGGAGAGAUUUCACUUCUUUAAAGGCAGCUUGUUUCUUGCCGAGUUCCGCGCUGACAUCCUCGUGGAAAAAUAUCUUAUGUCCCCUGAAGAACAGCUGCUCUCGUUUCCUCGUUAUUAUGCGGUGUUUGUUUUGGAAAGUGUGGAAGAGAACGAGGAAUAUCCUCGGCCGUUUGGAGCUAGCGCCAGAGUCGGCGGUCGGCUUGGGUCCCACUCGGUGCGCGCGGGAGAUAAUGAGGGGAUGCGGGAAGAAUUCUUUACCCAGGACUUCCUCGAAAAAUUCAGUCAUGAACUUAACUGUGUCCGGGCCCUCCAGAUGCUCCGGGAUACCGACAACUCGCAGGUUGGACCUACGGGAGCGAUUUUCUAAGUCCUCCACUUUGUUUUUCAGCCUAUCGUUCUCAGCUAGAAGUGCGGUGCAUUUUGUUUCAAUAGCCUCGAUCCUGUCGCUGUGGUCAUUUAGCCCUUCCUCCAUGUCAUGGAUACGUUCUUCGUGGGAGUCAAGAGACGAUUUUACCCGUUCCAGGGAUGCUGAAAUUGGUGCCAGUGCCUCGCCGAGAGCUUUUUUCAGGAGGGAGUCCGUUUGCUGUGCGAGGUCGGACAGAAGCACCGAGUGAAGCUUAGCAAGAUCAGCAGCUCCCAUCUGACUUAGAUAUCUCAGACCUCAUCCUAAAGUCCAAGCCCUCCACCUGUCAGUUAGAUCCCCUCCCCACAGUUCUGGUGAAAGCCUGCCUCCCCUCUCUGCUCCCCCUCGUCUCUGCCAUCAUCCAUUCCUCACUCUCCACUGGAAUUGUUCCUACACUCUUCAAAACUGCUGCCAUCACUCCAAUAUUGAAAAAACCUGGUGCUGACCCUAAUAAUUAUAAUAACCUUCGUCCCAUCUCCAACCUACCUUGCAUCUCCAAAAUCCUUGAAAAAACUGUUGCUUCCCAAAUUCAUUCUCAUCUAACCCUUAACAACUUGUACGAACAAUUUUGUUUUCAGCCCCCUCCAUAGCACUGAAUCUGCACUAAUCAAAAUCACAAACGACCUCCUCCUGGCAGCCGACUCUGGUUUACUCACUAUUCUCAUCCUCCUCGAUCUGAGUGCGGCCUUCGACACCAUCUCUCACACUAUCCUCUUAACAGAUUAAUUUCCAUUGGCAUUUCGCACACACCCCUUGACUGGUUUAAAUCCUACCUCUCAGGCCGCACUCAGUUCAUCCAACUCCAAUCCUUCAGUUCCCACCCGUCCCCUGUCACCACUGGUGUGCCCCAGGGCUCUGUCCUGGCCCCCCUUCUCUUCAUAAUCUACCUCCUUCCCCUUGGCAAUAUCUUCCGCAAAUACAACAUCCAUUUUCAUUGCUACGCGGAUGACACCCAGCUCUACCUCUCCAGCAAACCCAAUUCCACUCUCCCACCUUCCUCCCUUACUGACUGCUUCACCGAGCUCAAAUCCUGGUUUUCCUCCAACUUCCUCAAACUAAACAGUGAUAAAACAGAAUUUCUUCUUAUUGGCACUAAAUCAACCCUCUCAAAAGCUGACAGUUUUUCCCUCACCAUCGACCACUCCUCUGUCUCCCCCUCCCCCCAGGUUAAGAGUCUGGGUGUCAUCCUUGACAGCACAUUAUCUUUCCAAACCCAUAUCAAUAACAUCACCCGGUGUGCAUAUUUCCACCUUCGCAAUAUUAAUCGCCUCCGCCCCUCCUUUUCUCCCCACUCCACUGCCAUUCUUGUACACAGCCUUGUCACCUCCCGCAUCAACUACUGCAACUCCCUUCUUUUUGGGUCUACCUCACAAAUACCUCAAUAAACUUCAACUGGUUCAGAACUCUGCAGCUCGAAUCAUCACCAGAACCCCCUCCAUCCACCACAUCACCCCUGUUCUGCAGCAACUUCACUGGCUCCCGGUCAAACUCUGCAUAAACUUCAAAAUCCUCCUGUUUACGUUCAAGGCCAUCCACAACCUUUCCCCUCCUUAUCUGUCCGAACUCCUCCACAUCGCCACCCCUUCCCGUUCCCUCGGAUCUGCCUCCUCUGUCCACCUCUCUGUCCCUCCCGCCCUCCUCGUCACCAUGGGGAGCAGGGCUUUCAGCCGCUCUGCCCCCCAUCUCUGGAACUCACUCCCACCGGACCUCAGGAACCUGGACUCUCUCACACUCUUCAAAUCAAUACUAAAAACUCACCUAUUUAGAACUGCAUACCCCACUUAACUAUAAACUUACUUAACUACAUUGUCUUUUCUUAUCUGUUUCUUAUUUCUUACUGUUUUUAUUUUUUAUGUGUUGUACGGUGAUUGAGUGCCCAGAGAGGCGCCUUUAAAUAAAAUGUAUUAUUAUUAUUAUUA
Molecule: long non-coding RNA, 3749 nt
Organism: Dicentrarchus labrax (European seabass)
Lineage: Eukaryota; Metazoa; Chordata; Actinopteri; Moronidae
Exons: 2
Source: RefSeq, a predicted model, not a curated record